Python bivittatus (Burmese python) is the source of this 436-nucleotide long non-coding RNA. RefSeq lists it as uncharacterized. Lineage: Eukaryota; Metazoa; Chordata; Lepidosauria; Squamata; Pythonidae. The record is from RefSeq and is a predicted model, not a curated record.
AAAAAAUGAGAAGCCAAUCAUGGAUCUUGUUCAGAACUAAGAGCUAGUUUAGUUUAUUUUUUCACUUCCAGCCAAUACCCAGACUGAAAUGCAAGGUCGAGGAAAGCCAGGUGUAAAGAAGAAGUCAUUCCACAACCUAGAAAAAGCUUUUGACCGUGUUCUGCAUCAGCUGAUAUGGUCCCAGAACUAUAAACUAGUGUGGGAAAUCAAAAAGGCAUUCUGGAAGAAGAAAAUAGCAAACCACUUCAUUGUUGCUGCCAAGAAAACUACAUGACCACGUUCACGGAAUGACCUUGACAUGAAGGAGUCUACCUUGAAGUGAACCAUAAGGGAACAGCUAUGUGAGAGCUGUUGUCAUUAUGAUCAGUGUUAAAAACUUUUAUUUUCCAGGAAAUAAAAUCAUAUAAUAACAUUAUUUGCCUAAAAAAUGGCUGGA